Molecule: ribosomal RNA, 254 nt
Filed under: uncultured bacterium
Lineage: Bacteria
Description: partial 16S ribosomal RNA
Rfam family: Bacterial small subunit ribosomal RNA
Source: RNAcentral
UACGUAGGGUGCAAGCGUUGUCCGGAAUUAUUGGGCGUAAAGAGCUCGUAGGCGGUCUGUCACGUCGGCUGUGAAAACCCGAGGCUCAACCUCGGGCCUGCAGUCGAUACGGGCAAACUAGAGUACUGCAGGGGAGACUGGAAUUCCUGGUGUAGCGGUGAAAUGCGCAGAUAUCAGGAGGAACACCGAUGGCGAAGGCAGGUCUCUGGGCCACUACUGACGCUGAGAAGCGAAAGCAUGGGGGAGCGAACAGG